AGAGUUUGAUCAUGGCUCAGAUUGAACGCUGGCGGCAGGCCUAACACAUGCAAGUCGAACGGUAACAGGAAGCAGCUUGCUGCUUUGCUGACGAGUGGCGGACGGGUGAGUAAUGUCUGGGAAACUGCCUGAUGGAGGGGGAUAACUACUGGAAACGGUGGCUAAUACCGCAUAACGUCGCAAGACCAAAGAGGGGGACCUUCGGGCCUCUUGCCAUCAGAUGUGCCCAGAUGGGAUUAGCUGGUUGGUGAGGUAACGGCUCACCAAGGCGACGAUCCCUAGCUGGUCUGAGAGGAUGACCAGCCACACUGGAACUGAGACACGGUCCAGACUCCUACGGGAGGCAGCAGUGGGGAAUAUUGCACAAUGGGCGCAAGCCUGAUGCAGCCAUGCCGCGUGUAUGAAGAAGGCCUUCGGGUUGUAAAGUACUUUCAGCGGGGAGGAAGGUGUUGUGGUUAAUAACCGCAGCAAUUGACGUUACCCGCAGAAGAAGCACCGGCUAACUCCGUGCCAGCAGCCGCGGUAAUACGGAGGGUGCAAGCGUUAAUCGGAAUUACUGGGCGUAAAGCGCACGCAGGCGGUCUGUCAAGUCGGAUGUGAAAUCCCCGGGCUCAACCUGGGAACUGCAUUCGAAACUGGCAGGCUUGAGUCUUGUAGAGGGGGGUAGAAUUCCAGGUGUAGCGGUGAAAUGCGUAGAGAUCUGGAGGAAUACCGGUGGCGAAGGCGGCCCCCUGGACAAAGACUGACGCUCAGGUGCGAAAGCGUGGGGAGCAAACAGGAUUAGAUACCCUGGUAGUCCACGCCGUAAACGAUGUCUACUUGGAGGUUGUGCCCUUGAGGCGUGGCUUCCGGAGCUAACGCGUUAAGUAGACCGCCUGGGGAGUACGGCCGCAAGGUUAAAACUCAAAUGAAUUGACGGGGGCCCGCACAAGCGGUGGAGCAUGUGGUUUAAUUCGAUGCAACGCGAAGAACCUUACCUGGUCUUGACAUCCACAGAACUUUCCAGAGAUGGAUUGGUGCCUUCGGGAACUGUGAGACAGGUGCUGCAUGGCUGUCGUCAGCUCGUGUUGUGAAAUGUUGGGUUAAGUCCCGCAACGAGCGCAACCCUUAUCCUUUGUUGCCAGCGGUUAGGCCGGGAACUCAAAGGAGACUGCCAGUGAUAAACUGGAGGAAGGUGGGGAUGACGUCAAGUCAUCAUGGCCCUUACGACCAGGGCUACACACGUGCUACAAUGGCGCAUACAAAGAGAAGCGACCUCGCGAGAGCAAGCGGACCUCAUAAAGUGCGUCGUAGUCCGGAUUGGAGUCUGCAACUCGACUCCAUGAAGUCGGAAUCGCUAGUAAUCGUGGAUCAGAAUGCCACGGUGAAUACGUUCCCGGGCCUUGUACACACCGCCCGUCACACCAUGGGAGUGGGUUGCAAAAGAAGUAGGUAGCUUAACCUUCGGGAGGGCGCUUACCACUUUGUGAUUCAUGACUGGGGUGAAGUCGUAACAAGGUAACCGUAGGGGAACCUGCGGUUG
This 1522-nucleotide ribosomal RNA is filed under the name Salmonella enterica subsp. enterica serovar Kentucky. RNAcentral's name for it is "bacterial SSU rRNA". It matches the Rfam family "Bacterial small subunit ribosomal RNA". The record is from RNAcentral. Lineage: Bacteria; Pseudomonadati; Pseudomonadota; Gammaproteobacteria; Enterobacterales; Enterobacteriaceae.